Molecule: small RNA, 673 nt
Filed under: Histoplasma capsulatum var. duboisii H88
Lineage: Eukaryota; Fungi; Ascomycota; Eurotiomycetes; Onygenales; Ajellomycetaceae
Description: Histoplasma capsulatum H88 hypothetical RNA
Source: RNAcentral
GCCACCAAUUUGAGGGGGGGUGGAUGGUGUAGUGGUAAGCACUGUUCAUGGAAUGCUUUCUCAAGUAGGCACUUGGUGUUGGGGCCACCACUGCUGAGACAAGAAGGUAGUGGGUUCGAAUCCCACCCUCUCCAAAAGGAUAUUAUCACAUCUUGAUGGAUAUUGGGGGUACCCUUUCUUAUCUCAUUUCUAUUGGUAACUGCCACUGCAGGGUGGAGCAAUGUUCAACACUAUGUAUAUAGUCUAGAUGGAUUCAGUAUAGUGUGGGAUUCUAAGGUGUUGUGAUCCCUACAUGUCUAGUUCAGAUGUAUUAGGCCACUAGGGCAAAAGAGCUCGAUCACCACCAGCGCCGUGGUGGUAUAGAGGGUACGAAUCACCCAAUCCAAUCCCCCCAACAAGAUGCCAAGGGACUGCUUAUUGCGUGAGCAAUUGUGGGGUCAAAGGCCCCCCUUGAGGGCUAGAUCCAGAAUGGUAUAGUGAAGUCUCUCCAUCAAGGAUGACUCAGUUAUGAAUAGGGGAAAUGUAACUAGAGAGUAGCCGAACAUAAGGGUAGGCUAGUGAGGUGAAGGCUGUCAUAGUCUCUGACUGCAUAUAGCCUUAGAAAAAAUAUGAAGAACAACAACAACAACAACAGCCACCAAUUUGAGGCGCCCAACAGAUUUAUUUGUGUAUU